RNAcentral lists this ribosomal RNA (1344 nucleotides) under uncultured bacterium. Its description in RNAcentral is "bacterial SSU rRNA". It matches the Rfam family "Bacterial small subunit ribosomal RNA", at positions 28 to 1381 of the family's 1533-position model. The record is from RNAcentral.
GACGAACGCUGGCGGCGUGCUUAACACAUGCAAGUCGAACGAUGAAGCCCAGCUUGCUGGGUGGAUUAGUGGCGAACGGGUGAGUAACACGUGAGUAACCUGCCCUUGACUCUGGGAUAAGCGCUGGAAACGGCGUCUAAUACCGGAUACGACCUGCCCCGGCAUCGGGUGCGGGUGGAAAGUUUUUCGGUCAAGGAUGGACUCGCGGCCUAUCAGCUUGUUGGUGAGGUAAUGGCUCACCAAGGCGACGACGGGUAGCCGGCCUGAGAGGGUGACCGGCCACACUGGGACUGAGACACGGCCCAGACUCCUACGGGAGGCAGCAGUGGGGAAUAUUGCACAAUGGGCGAAAGCCUGAUGCAGCAACGCCGCGUGGGGGAUGACGGCCUUCGGGUUGUAAACCUCUUUUAGUAGGGAAGAAGGACUUCGGUUUGACGGUACCUGCAGAAAAAGCACCGGCUAACUACGUGCCAGCAGCCGCGGUAAUACGUAGGGUGCAAGCGUUGUCCGGAAUUAUUGGGCGUAAAGAGCUCGUAGGCGGUUUGUCGCGUCUGCUGUGAAAACCCGAGGCUCAACCUCGGGCCUGCAGUGGGUACGGGCAGACUAGAGUGCGGUAGGGGAGAAUGGAAUUCCUGGUGUAGCGGUGGAAUGCGCAGAUAUCAGGAGGAACACCGAUGGCGAAGGCAGUUCUCUGGGCCGUUACUGACGCUGAGGAGCGAAAGCGUGGGGAGCGAACAGGAUUAGAUACCCUGGUAGUCCACGCCGUAAACGUUGGGAACUAGAUGUGGGGACCUUUCCACGGUCUCCGUGUCGCAGCUAACGCAUUAAGUUCCCCGCCUGGGGAGUACGGCCGCAAGGCUAAAACUCAAAGGAAUUGACGGGGGCCCGCACAAGCGGCGGAGCAUGCGGAUUAAUUCGAUGCAACGCGAAGAACCUUACCAAGGCUUGACAUAUACCGGAAACUUCCAGAAAUGGUUGCCCCGCAAGGUCGGUAUACAGGUGGUGCAUGGUUGUCGUCAGCUCGUGUCGUGAGAUGUUGGGUUAAGUCCCGCAACGAGCGCAACCCUCGUUCUAUAUUGCCAGCACGUCAUGGUGGGAACUCAUAGGAGACUGCCGGGGUCAACUCGGAGGAAGGUGGGGAUGACGUCAAAUCAUCAUGCCCCUUAUGUCUUGGGCUUCACGCAUGCUACAAUGGCCGGUACAAAGGGCUGCGAUACCGUAAGGUGGAGCGAAUCCCAAAAAGCCGGUCUCAGUUCGGAUUGAGGUCUGCAACUCGACCUCACGAAGUCGGAGUCGCUAGUAAUCGCAGAUCAGCAACGCUGCGGUGAAUACGUUCCCGGGCCU